This is a long non-coding RNA of Metopolophium dirhodum (rose-grain aphid), 346 nucleotides long. RefSeq lists it as uncharacterized. The record is from RefSeq and is a predicted model, not a curated record. The transcript has 3 exons. NCBI's taxonomy places the organism in Eukaryota, Metazoa, Arthropoda, Insecta, Hemiptera, Aphididae.
CAGAAACCUUACAAUAAAUAUUUUUUUUUUAUAUUAAAUGAAGUGAUACUACUAAUAAGAAGAAAAUUUGAUAUACCAGCAAAACACAUCGAUCAGUAUCAAAAUCAGACCUCAAUAUAAGUCAAUUGAAAACUUAAUAAAAUACAAUAGAAAAAUCUGUGAAAAUUUCAAGUGUCUCACUUUCUCGGUUCAUGAGAUACAGCCUGGUGACAGACGGACAGAUACCUAGUCAUCAGGAUUACCUAAGCCAAUUGCAAGUGCAGUAAAUCCCCCAGAAUUUUGUCUUGGUAGAAGACAGAUGGGAUGGUGAGCGCUUGCUUGACAUGUAAUAGAGAAUUUACUGUAA